Molecule: non-coding RNA, 626 nt
Organism: Phasianus colchicus (ring-necked pheasant)
Lineage: Eukaryota; Metazoa; Chordata; Aves; Galliformes; Phasianidae
Source: RefSeq, a predicted model, not a curated record
UGCACGUAACGACUGUUUUAGUCCCUCUACCACUCCAGAAAGAAUCUCAGGAAAGUGCUUGAAUCACCCCCAGAAGAGGAAACCUCAGAUUUACAUCAAUCGUGAAGAUAAUAUCAGUGAUACUACUACCCAGUUGUAGACAUGCAUGCUGUGAUUCAACCUCUCUGUCCUGAAAACAAAAACGUUCUCUGCUAAGGCUGACCACUUGUGACACCAGUGUGCUGUAUCCCCACAUAGGCAGUGCUCGGGCUGUGCCGCCUUUGCCUGCAGCAACUUCUGUUGCGUGUUUGUGGUUGUUGCUCAUUCUUGAACAAAACAGUGCUGAGACAUGGUUGAUGCUGUUCAGCCAGGCUUCCUGAGGGCUCCAGAACACCAGGUGAGAUAUCAGCCAGCUUUUUCUGACAAGCAAAAGUGCCUUAACUCUGUCACCCUGGAAAGUACAGCGCUUUUUGGUAAGUUUUAUUUUUUUCCUUGCAGGAUGCUCAAGGGGUAAGGCUGUGUCAAAGUUGGAUAUACAAACAAAUUUAAAAAAGGAAAACUUUGUUCCCUUUACUCUUCUUGGCAAAGGCUGUUUCUUGGUUAUGUGUGUUGUUGGAGAAAAAAAAACACCAGAAAACCUGUCUUAA